UUACAACGGAGAGUUUGAUCCUGGCUCAGGACGAACGCUGGCGGCGUGCUUAACACAUGCAAGUCUACGAGAAAAAGGUAGCAAUAUCUUGAGUAAAGUGGCGCAAGGGUGAGUAAUAUAUAAGUAAUCUGCCCAUGGGUUUAGAAUAACUCGUCGAAAGGCGGGCUAAUACUAAAUAAUGCAGCGGCACCGCAUGGUGAUGUUGUUAAAGCCUAUAUGGCGCCUAUGGAUGAGCUUGUAUCAGAUUAGCUAGUUGGUAAGGUAACGGCUUACCAAGGCAACGAUCUGUAGCUGGUCUGAGAGGAUGAUCAGCCACACUGGAACUGAGACACGGUCCAGACUCCUACGGGAGGCAGCAGUGAGGAA
RNAcentral lists this ribosomal RNA (366 nucleotides) under Stygiobacter sp. GWC2_38_9. RNAcentral's name for it is "bacterial SSU rRNA". It matches the Rfam family "Bacterial small subunit ribosomal RNA", at positions 1 to 361 of the family's 1533-position model. Lineage: Bacteria; Pseudomonadati; Ignavibacteriota; Ignavibacteria; Ignavibacteriales; Melioribacteraceae. The record is from RNAcentral.